CGGUUGAUCCUGCCGGACCCGACUGCUAUUUGGGUGAGGAUAAGCCAUGCAAGUCAGAUGGGAUACCUAAAUUUCCCAUGGCGAACUGCUCAGUAACACAUGAUCAACUUGCCCUAUAGAGAAAAAUAACCUCGGGAAACUGAGGAUAAUGUUUCAUAGUUGAAUUGGCUUGGAAAAGUUUUUCAAUAAAAUGGAUGAAAAAAAAUGGUUUUUAUCUGCUAUAGGAUAGGAUCGUGGUCGAUUAUGGUUGUUGGUGAGGUAACGGCUCACCAAGCCGAUAAUCGAUAGGGGCCGUGAGAGCGGGAGCCCCGAGAUGGGUACUGAGACAACGACCCAGGCCUUACGAGGCGCAGCAGGCGCGAAACCUCCGCAAUACACGAAAGUGUGACGGGGUUACCCAAAGUGUUCAAUUUUGAACUGUGGUAGGUGAGUAAUGUUCCCUACUAGAAAGGAGAGGGCAAGGCUGGUGCCAGCCGCCGCGGUAAAACCAGCUCUUCAAGUGGUCGGGAUAAUUAUUGGGCUUAAAGUGUCCGUAGCCGGUUUAGUAAGUUCCUGGUAAAAUCGGGUAGCUUAACUAUCUGUAUGCUAGGAAUACUGCUAUACUAGAGGGCGGGAGAGGUCUGAGGUACUACAGGGGUAGGGGUGAAAUCUUAUAAUCCUUGUAGGACCACCAGUGGCGAAGGCGUCAGACUGGAACGCGCCUGACGGUGAGGGACGAAAGCCAGGGGAGCGAACCGGAUUAGAUACCCGGGUAGUCCUGGCCGUAAACGAUGCAUACUAGGUGAUGGUACGGCCAUGAGCCGUAUCAGUGCCGUAGGGAAACCGUUAAGUGUGCCGCCUGGGAAGUACGGUCGCAAGGCUAAAACUUAAAGGAAUUGGCGGGGGAGCAC
Molecule: ribosomal RNA, 890 nt
Filed under: uncultured archaeon
Lineage: Archaea
Description: bacterial SSU rRNA
Rfam family: Archaeal small subunit ribosomal RNA
Source: RNAcentral